GGAGCCAUCCUUGGGAUACCACCCUUGUAGUACUGGGACUCUAACCAUAGGCCAUGAAUCUGGUCUUGGGACACUGUCAGGUGGGCAGUUUGACUGGGGCGGUCGCCUCCCAAAAGGUAACGGAGGCGCUCAAAGGUUCCCUCAGUACGGUCGGAAAUCGUACGUAGAGUGUAAAGGCAAAAGAGAGCUUGAUUGCAAGACAUACAGGUCGAGCAAGGAUGAAAAUCGGACUUAGUGAUCCGGUGGUUCUGCGCGGAAGGGCCAUCGCU
This 269-nucleotide ribosomal RNA is filed under the name Clostridioides difficile. Its description in RNAcentral is "partial 23S ribosomal RNA". It matches the Rfam family "Bacterial large subunit ribosomal RNA", at positions 2182 to 2449 of the family's 2925-position model. Lineage: Bacteria; Bacillati; Bacillota; Clostridia; Peptostreptococcales; Peptostreptococcaceae. The record is from RNAcentral.